This 364-nucleotide ribosomal RNA is filed under the name Cedecea sp. 195R. RNAcentral describes it as "bacterial SSU rRNA". It matches the Rfam family "Bacterial small subunit ribosomal RNA", at positions 1010 to 1374 of the family's 1533-position model. Lineage: Bacteria; Pseudomonadati; Pseudomonadota; Gammaproteobacteria; Enterobacterales; Enterobacteriaceae. The record is from RNAcentral.
AUUGGUGCCUUCGGGAACUCUGAGACAGGUGCUGCAUGGCUGUCGUCAGCUCGUGUUGUGAAAUGUUGGGUUAAGUCCCGCAACGAGCGCAACCCUUAUCCUUUGUUGCCAGCGGUUCGGCCGGGAACUCAAAGGAGACUGCCAGUGAUAAACUGGAGGAAGGUGGGGAUGACGUCAAGUCAUCAUGGCCCUUACGAGUAGGGCUACACACGUGCUACAAUGGCGCAUACAAAGAGAAGCGACCUCGCGAGAGCAAGCGGACCUCAUAAAGUGCGUCGUAGUCCGGAUUGGAGUCUGCAACUCGACUCCAUGAAGUCGGAAUCGCUAGUAAUCGUAGAUCAGAAUGCUACGGUGAAUACGUUCC